ACGGGAGGCAGCAGUGGGGAAUAUUGCACAAUGGGGGAAACCCUGAUGCAGCGACGCCGCGUGAGCGAAGAAGUAUUUCGGUAUGUAAAGCUCUAUCAGCAGGGAAGAAAAUGACGGUACCUGACUAAGAAGCACCGGCUAAAUACGUGCCAGCAGCCGCGGUAAUACGUAUGGUGCAAGCGUUAUCCGGAUUUACUGGGUGUAAAGGGAGCGUAGACGGCAUGGCAGGUCUGAAGUGAAAGGACGGGGCUUAACCCUGUGACUGCUUUGGAAACUGUCAAGCUAGAGUGCCGGAGGGGUAAGCGGAAUUCCUAGUGUAGCGGUGAAAUGCGUAGAUAUUAGGAGGAACACCAGUGGCGAAGGCGGCUUACUGGACGGUAACUGACGUUGAGGCUCGAAAGUGUAGGUAGCAAACAGGAUUAGAUACCCUGGUA
This 434-nucleotide ribosomal RNA is filed under the name uncultured Lachnospiraceae bacterium. RNAcentral's name for it is "partial 16S ribosomal RNA". It matches the Rfam family "Bacterial small subunit ribosomal RNA", at positions 341 to 792 of the family's 1533-position model. Lineage: Bacteria; Bacillati; Bacillota; Clostridia; Lachnospirales; Lachnospiraceae. The record is from RNAcentral.